CCUCGGGUGGCAGCAGUGAGGAAUAUUGUUCAAUGGGCGCGAGCCUGAACCAGCCAAGUAGCGUGAAGGAUGACUGCCCUACGGGUUGUAAACUUCUUUUAUAAAGGAAUAAAGUGAGGCACGUGUGCCUUUUUGUAUGUACUUUAUGAUUAAGGAUCGGCUAACUCCGUUCCAGCAGCGGCGUUAAUAAGGAGUAUCCGAGCGUUAUCCUGUUUUAUUGGGUUUAAAGGGGUCGGAGAUGGGUGUGUAAGUCAGUUGUGACAGUUUGCGGCUCACCCGUAAAAUUGCAAUUGAUACUGGCAGCCUUGAGUACAGUUGAGGUAGGCGGAAUUCGUGGUGUAGCGGUGAAAUGCUUAGAUAGCACGAAGAACUCCGAUUGCGAAGGCAGCUUACUAAACUGCCACUGACAUUGAUGCUCGAAAGUGUAGGUAUCAAACAGGAUUAGAUACCCCUGUAGUC
This 459-nucleotide ribosomal RNA is filed under the name uncultured bacterium. RNAcentral describes it as "partial 16S ribosomal RNA". It matches the Rfam family "Bacterial small subunit ribosomal RNA", at positions 339 to 795 of the family's 1533-position model. The record is from RNAcentral.